RNAcentral lists this long non-coding RNA (1045 nucleotides) under Betta splendens (Siamese fighting fish). Its description in RNAcentral is "lncRNA (ENSBSLG00000005323.1)". The record is from RNAcentral. Lineage: Eukaryota; Metazoa; Chordata; Actinopteri; Anabantiformes; Osphronemidae.
GUGAAUGCUGCAAAGCAUUCACUGUAUUGUUUUUCUAAGCUUUAUUAUUAUUAGUGGGAGAGCUGAACAGCUCUCACACUAUUGUUAUCUUCGGUCUUUAUUAUUAUUAUUAUUCUUCUUCUACUUAUUCCGCCCUUUUUUUGAUUGCUAUCUACUUUUUAACGCUUCAUCGUAGAAUCGUCGUUCAACUUUCUAAACGUGUGUCAUCUUUAGGAGAUGUGGGCUAUUACUUUUUAUGUUUUCAGCUUUUCAACUUUUAACGUUAUUCAACUUUUUUCAUCGUUUUUUUAUAAUGGUCGUCUAUGGGAAUCAUCGUUAAACUUUUUGUCAACUUCCCUCUUUUCAUCAGCGUCUAUCAUCGUCAUACUUUAGCGUAGAAACGUCAUUUCAACUUCAAAAGCGUCCAUCAUCGCUCAACUUUCUCCUCGUAAAUCAGCGUUGUCGUAUCUUCUAUACUUUUCGACUAGUGAGCGUUUAAAUAUGGUGUGGUUUUUGUUAAAUUUUCAGCUUUUCCAUUAGUGUGUAUUGGGUCAUUUAGAGUGCGUGAUGUCACAGCCAGAGUGCGAGGGUGCGCUUUUUAAAGACAGAACUUCUGUCUCUAACUCGUCACUACAGCCACAAUUUUUACUCUAUCAACAUAAUUACUUCACUAAAUCGUAGUCAUACUUGUCUUCUUUCUAAUGAUGUGUCUGGAUAUACCCUCAGACCUAUACUUUAGUCGCUAUCAACCUUAAAGCGCAGAGAGAUCCCGAAAUUCUCCCAUAGACUCUAAUGAUAAUUUUCGGCAGACGUCUGGGGAGAAAAACAGAGGAGACAUAUUUUGAAAUUGCCACUGUGGCUACAAGCUUUUAUCCUCAAACAUAAAAUUCACACCAUUUGCUCAUUGAAGCCUUGGGACUCGUAAAAUGAAAUAAUUUUUGUGAUAACUAUCAUGGUUUAGUUGGAACAAGCCUGUUUAUACAGGGUGAAACUCUGUUUUACAGAGCAGAGUGAGCCUGAUUUUCCCGCCUUUCGUCUCCAUGGCGACGGCGCAGCUGCAGAUUUC